RNAcentral lists this ribosomal RNA (465 nucleotides) under Vreelandella stevensii. RNAcentral describes it as "partial 16S ribosomal RNA". It matches the Rfam family "Bacterial small subunit ribosomal RNA", at positions 338 to 795 of the family's 1533-position model. Lineage: Bacteria; Pseudomonadati; Pseudomonadota; Gammaproteobacteria; Oceanospirillales; Halomonadaceae. The record is from RNAcentral.
CCUACGGGUGGCAGCAGUGGGGAAUAUUGGACAAUGGGCGAAAGCCUGAUCCAGCCAUGCCGCGUGUGUGAAGAAGGCCUUCGGGUUGUAAAGCACUUUCAGUGGGGAAGAAAGCCUUGGGGCUAAUACCCUCGAGGAAGGACAUCACCCACAGAAGAAGCACCGGCUAACUCCGUGCCAGCAGCCGCGGUAAUACGGAGGGUGCGAGCGUUAAUCGGAAUUACUGGGCGUAAAGCGCGCGUAGGCGGUCUGAUAAGCCGGUUGUGAAAGCCCCGGGCUCAACCUGGGAACGGCAUCCGGAACUGUCAGGCUAGAGUGCAGGAGGGGAAGGUAGAAUUCCCGGUGUAGCGGUGAAAGGCGUAGAGAUCGGGAGGAAUACCAGUGGCGAAGGCGGCCUUCUGGACUGACACUGACGCUGAGGUGCGAAAGCGUGGGUAGCAAACAGGAUUAGAUACCCCAGUAGUC